RNAcentral lists this ribosomal RNA (494 nucleotides) under uncultured bacterium. RNAcentral's name for it is "partial 16S ribosomal RNA". It matches the Rfam family "Bacterial small subunit ribosomal RNA", at positions 28 to 507 of the family's 1533-position model. The record is from RNAcentral.
GACGAACGCUGGCGGCGUGCUUAACACAUGCGAGUCGAACGGAAAGGCCUGCUUUCCCUUGUGGAUUGCGGGUACUCGAGUGGCGAACGGGUGAGUAACACGUGAGUGAUCUGCCCCCAACUUGGGUAUAAGCCUGGGAAACUGGGUCUAAUUCCCGAUAGGACUGCAGGGUGGUGCCUGUGGUGGAAAACGAUUUUCUAGUGGUUGGGGAUGAGCUCGCGGCCUAUCAGCUUGUUGGUGGGGUAAUGGCCUACCAAGGCGGCGACGGGUAGCCGGCCUGAGAGGGUGGACGGCCACAUUGGGACUGAGAUGCGGCCCAGACUCCUACGGGAGGCAGCAGUGGGGAAUAUUGCACAAUGGGCGGAAGCCUGAUGCAGCGACGCCGCGUGGGGGAUGACGGCCUUCGGGUUGUAAACUCCUUUCGACCGCGAGGAAGCCACCUGGUUGGAAGGGUGGUGACGGUAGUGGUAGAAGAAGCACCGGCUAACUACGUG